This 74-nucleotide transfer RNA is filed under the name Rosistilla ulvae. RNAcentral's name for it is "Planctomycetes bacterium EC9 tRNA-Lys". It matches the Rfam family "tRNA". Rfam says of the family: Transfer RNA (tRNA) molecules are approximately 80 nucleotides in length. Their secondary structure includes four short double-helical elements and three loops (D, anti-codon, and T loops). The record is from RNAcentral. Lineage: Bacteria; Pseudomonadati; Planctomycetota; Planctomycetia; Pirellulales; Pirellulaceae. RNAcentral also lists the same sequence under 2 other names.
GCCCCUGUAGCUCAGUCGGUAGAGCAGCUGACUCUUAAUCAGCGGGUCCAAGGUUCGAGCCCUUGCGGGGGCAC